AAAUUGAAGAGUUUGAUCAUGGCUCAGAUUGAACGCUGGCGGCAGGCCUAACACAUGCAAGUCGAACGGUAGCACAGAGAGCUUGCUCUCGGGUGACGAGUGGCGGACGGGUGAGUAAUGUCUGGGAAACUGCCUGAUGGAGGGGGAUAACUACUGGAAACGGUAGCUAAUACCGCAUAACGUCGCAAGACCAAAGUGGGGGACCUUCGGGCCUCAUGCCAUCAGAUGUGCCCAGAUGGGAUUAGCUAGUAGGUGGGGUAACGGCUCACCUAGGCGACGAUCCCUAGCUGGUCUGAGAGGAUGACCAGCCACACUGGAACUGAGACACGGUCCAGACUCCUACGGGAGGCAGCAGUGGGGAAUAUUGCACAAUGGGCGCAAGCCUGAUGCAGCCAUGCCGCGUGUAUGAAGAAGGCCUUCGGGUUGUAAAGUACUUUCAGCGAGGAGGAAGGCAUUAAGGUUAAUAACCUUGGUGAUUGACGUUACUCGCAGAAGAAGCACCGGCUAACUCCGUGCCAGCAGCCGCGGUAAUACGGAGGGUGCAAGCGUUAAUCGGAAUUACUGGGCGUAAAGCGCACGCAGGCGGUCUGUUAAGUCAGAUGUGAAAUCCCCGGGCUCAACCUGGGAACUGCAUUUGAAACUGGCAGGCUUGAGUCUUGUAGAGGGGGGUAGAAUUCCAGGUGUAGCGGUGAAAUGCGUAGAGAUCUGGAGGAAUACCGGUGGCGAAGGCGGCCCCCUGGACAAAGACUGACGCUCAGGUGCGAAAGCGUGGGGAGCAAACAGGAUUAGAUACCCUGGUAGUCCACGCUGUAAACGAUGUCGACUUGGAGGUUGUUCCCUUGAGGAGUGGCUUCCGGAGCUAACGCGUUAAGUCGACCGCCUGGGGAGUACGGCCGCAAGGUUAAAACUCAAAUGAAUUGACGGGGGCCCGCACAAGCGGUGGAGCAUGUGGUUUAAUUCGAUGCAACGCGAAGAACCUUACCUACUCUUGACAUCCAGAGAACUUAGCAGAGAUGCUUUGGUGCCUUCGGGAACUCUGAGACAGGUGCUGCAUGGCUGUCGUCAGCUCGUGUUGUGAAAUGUUGGGUUAAGUCCCGCAACGAGCGCAACCCUUAUCCUUUGUUGCCAGCGGUCCGGCCGGGAACUCAAAGGAGACUGCCAGUGAUAAACUGGAGGAAGGUGGGGAUGACGUCAAGUCAUCAUGGCCCUUACGAGUAGGGCUACACACGUGCUACAAUGGCAUAUACAAAGAGAAGCGACCUCGCGAGAGCAAGCGGACCUCAUAAAGUAUGUCGUAGUCCGGAUUGGAGUCUGCAACUCGACUCCAUGAAGUCGGAAUCGCUAGUAAUCGUAGAUCAGAAUGCUACGGUGAAUACGUUCCCGGGCCUUGUACACACCGCCCGUCACACCAUGGGAGUGGGUUGCAAAAGAAGUAGGUAGCUUAACCUUCGGGAGGGCGCUUACCACUUUGUGAUUCAUGACUGGGGUGAAGUCGUAACAAGGUAACCGUAGGGGAACCUGCGGUUGGAUCACCUCCUUA
Molecule: ribosomal RNA, 1540 nt
Filed under: Klebsiella electrica
Lineage: Bacteria; Pseudomonadati; Pseudomonadota; Gammaproteobacteria; Enterobacterales; Enterobacteriaceae
Description: bacterial SSU rRNA
Rfam family: Bacterial small subunit ribosomal RNA
Source: RNAcentral